This is a long non-coding RNA of Capra hircus (goat), 657 nucleotides long. RefSeq lists it as uncharacterized. Lineage: Eukaryota; Metazoa; Chordata; Mammalia; Artiodactyla; Bovidae. The transcript is spliced from 3 exons. The record is from RefSeq and is a predicted model, not a curated record.
CAAGAGUGUAUGGGUUUGUUUCUGGAUUUCAUCUGGGGAAUCUUGGAGGAUGAGUUUGCCUCAGAGGAGAAGCUUACAGAACCUCACUGCCAGCUGCCCAUUUAAAGCAGGGGGUGUGUUGUGGGAGUGGGUGGGAAGCCGGAGCAAACAGGGCCAGGACGCGGAAGGAGAGACAGGAGUAACCUAUGUGCACAGCCUUUCCCUAUACCACUGCUAGUAAACGACAGUAUCAAACAAGAGGAAUAACACCUCAAGUCCUGUUCCAGGAAGGUCCAGGAACCCCAAACGUCCCGUUGCCUUCUCGCCUCCUCUGCUGAGAGGGGCAGAGCGGCUCACGUUGACAGACUGAAGGGUAAAUGUGCAAACGUUUAUGGGGCCGAGGAUUAAGUGUGAAGGAGGAUUCUGGCAGUUGGGCUGAACAAAGACAUAAGACAUGUUUAAUACUCAGCAGGAUGCUUGGCAUAUAAAGGAGGAGGCAACGUUCCCCAGCCUACUCCUGCAUUCUGCUCGACCUGCCACUCACACCCCGCUGGCAGAACUGCUGGGGCUGGGAGGAUGAUGAGCACGUUUUUCUGUCCUGAGUGUGAACUGCCUUUAUAUCAUUUUGAUGAUAAGUGUAUUCAAAUAAUGCUUAAAAGUAUAUCGAAAUAAACAACA